This 495-nucleotide ribosomal RNA is filed under the name uncultured bacterium. RNAcentral's name for it is "partial 16S ribosomal RNA". It matches the Rfam family "Bacterial small subunit ribosomal RNA", at positions 28 to 505 of the family's 1533-position model. The record is from RNAcentral.
GAUGAACGCUGGCGGCGUGCCUAAUACAUGCAAGUCGAGCGAACGGACGAGAAGCUUGCUUCUCUGAUGUUAGCGGCGGACGGGUGAGUAACACGUGGAUAACCUACCUAUAAGACUGGGAUAACUUCGGGAAACCGGAGCUAAUACCGGAUAAUAUUUUGAACCGCAUGGUUCAAAAGUGAAAGACGGUCUUGCUGUCACUUAUAGAUGGAUCCGCGCUGCAUUAGCUAGUUGGUAAGGUAACGGCUUACCAAGGCAACGAUGCAUAGCCGACCUGAGAGGGUGAUCGGCCACACUGGAACUGAGACACGGUCCAGACUCCUACGGGAGGCAGCAGUAGGGAAUCUUCCGCAAUGGGCGAAAGCCUGACGGAGCAACGCCGCGCGAGUGAUGAAGGUCUUCGGAUCGUAAAACUCUGUUAUUAGGGAAGAACAUAUGUGUAAGUAACUGUGCACAUCUUGACGGUACCUAAUCAGAAAGCCACGGCUAACUACG